AAAGUCGUAACAAGGUUUCCGUAGGUGAACCUGCGGAAGGAUCAUUAACGAGGAGUGGAGAGGUGUGGUGUGUGUGGUUGUAGUGUAGUGUAGGAGGUAGUAGUUUGGUAGGGUGAUAUGAUGGAUGAUAUGUUCAGUCAAUGAUAUGUUCAAUCAAUGAUAUGUUCAGUCACCAGUCACCAAUCACCACCAAUCCCCUCCAAAUUCACCCUAUAACGCAUAACGCCCGCCUCAACAAACGCAAGGCAUUUGCCUUGUUUCACGCUUGUCUUUGUUUGUCAAACAACUAUCAGUGCUUUAUGAUAACUUUUAACAAUGGAUCUCUUGGCUCUU
This 333-nucleotide unclassified non-coding RNA is filed under the name Ascomycota sp. Its description in RNAcentral is "partial contains small subunit ribosomal RNA, internal transcribed spacer 1, and 5.8S ribosomal RNA". The stretch from base 1 to 47 matches the Rfam family "Eukaryotic small subunit ribosomal RNA", at positions 1785 to 1831 of the family's 1831-position model. The record is from RNAcentral. Lineage: Eukaryota; Fungi; Ascomycota.